AGUGAACGCUGGCGGUAGGCCUAACACAUGCAAGUCGAACGGCAGCACAGUAAGAGCUUGCUCUUACGGGUGGCGAGUGGCGGACGGGUGAGGAAUACAUCGGAAUCUACCUUUUCGUGGGGGAUAACGUAGGGAAACUUACGCUAAUACCGCAUACGACCUACGGGUGAAAGCAGGGGAUCUUCGGACCUUGCGCGAUUGAAUGAGCCGAUGUCGGAUUAGCUAGUUGGCGGGGUAAAGGCCCACCAAGGCGACGAUCCGUAGCUGGUCUGAGAGGAUGAACAGCCACACUGGAACUGAGACACGGUCCAGACGCCUACGGGAGGCAGCAGUGGGGAAUAUUGGACAAUGGGCGCAAGCCUGAUCCAGCCAUACCGCGUGGGUGAAGAAGGCCUUCGGGUUGUAAAGCCCUUUUGUUGGGAAAGAAAAGCAGCAGGCUAAUACCCCGCUGUUCUGACGGUACCCAAAGAAUAAGCACCGGCUAACUUCGUG
Molecule: ribosomal RNA, 492 nt
Filed under: uncultured bacterium
Lineage: Bacteria
Description: partial 16S ribosomal RNA
Rfam family: Bacterial small subunit ribosomal RNA
Source: RNAcentral